Molecule: ribosomal RNA, 27 nt
Filed under: Pristimantis boulengeri (Boulenger's robber frog)
Lineage: Eukaryota; Metazoa; Chordata; Amphibia; Anura; Strabomantidae
Also listed under: 3 other names
Description: partial 12S ribosomal RNA
Source: RNAcentral
AGUAUACCGGAAGGUGUGCUUGGAAAC